CGUCACUCGUUGCAAGCUGAAAUGCAGAGGGGGUGGUAAGGGGAAGAAAGGAGCAGGGAGGCAGAGAUUUGGAAGCUCCAUCACAGAAGAACUGGCCUCAAGAGCAAAGAGAUAGGGAGAAGUCAAGAUCCUACAACAGCCAUCAUGGUGACUCUUCCUCUUUUCCUCCUCUUCAUCCUUUUGCCCUGCAGUAAAUCUCAGGAAUUUCUGGACCAGCAUCAGAAAUGGAACUACAGAGAAGGCGCUGACAAGGUCAACAUAGAAGGUGUUUACAGCAUUACUCAAACCCUCGAGAAGUGGGGAAAUGACAUCUUCUGGCAAAUGAAGCAUACCCUGCUGAACAACCCAAAUGCUCUCCUGCCUGAGUUCUCCAGGUAAUUCAUCGCAUCUGGAAGUGGGAUUCAGUCCUCUCCUGGGUGUCCUUCCCUGAGCAGGAUUCAUCUUCUUAAAGAUGAAUUUUUGUAUUUCUCAGCUGGGAGGAAAUAAAACACAUUAUCUCAG
Vidua chalybeata is the source of this 501-nucleotide long non-coding RNA. RefSeq lists it as uncharacterized. The record is from RefSeq and is a predicted model, not a curated record. Lineage: Eukaryota; Metazoa; Chordata; Aves; Passeriformes; Viduidae. The transcript has 3 exons.